Molecule: ribosomal RNA, 253 nt
Filed under: uncultured bacterium
Lineage: Bacteria
Description: partial 16S ribosomal RNA
Rfam family: Bacterial small subunit ribosomal RNA
Source: RNAcentral
UACGUAGGGGGCUAGCGUUGUCCGGAAUCAUUGGGCGUAAAGAGCGUGUAGGCGGUUUGGUAGGUCCGCUGUGAAAACUCGAGGCUCAACCUCGAGACGCCGGUGGAAACCAUCAGGCUAGAGUCCGGAAGAGGAGAGUGGAAUUCCUGGUGUAGCGGUGAAAUGCGCAGAUAUCAGGAAGAACACCCGUGGCUAAGGCGGCUCUCUAGUACGGUACUGACGCUGAGACGCGAAAGCGUAGGGAUCAAACAGG